This 247-nucleotide unclassified non-coding RNA is filed under the name fungal sp. RNAcentral's name for it is "partial contains 5.8S ribosomal RNA, internal transcribed spacer 2, and large subunit ribosomal RNA". The record is from RNAcentral. Lineage: Eukaryota; Fungi.
CGCACCUUGCGCCCUCUGGUAUUCCGGAGGGCAUGCCUGUUUGAGUGUCAUGUAGACUCAAUCCCCCGGGUUUCCGGGAAGAUUGGAAUUGGACGUUGCCAUCCCCGGCUCGUCUCAAAUGUGUCUGUGGGCGUCCGACCCGUCGGGAGUGAUACGUUUCUCUCGGUCGCGGUGUCGUCACCCCGCUGUCCAACCACCAUAUUUUGACUCUGACCUCAAAUCAGGUAGGGCUACCCGCUGAACUUAA